Non-coding RNA from Maylandia zebra (zebra mbuna), 1334 nucleotides. The record is from RefSeq and is a predicted model, not a curated record. NCBI's taxonomy places the organism in Eukaryota, Metazoa, Chordata, Actinopteri, Cichliformes, Cichlidae.
UUGAGGUGGGCACCUGCAGGCUUCCAGCUUCGGUGACAGCGAUGUGUCCAGUUUGGCAGGUGGAGAACUAAUUCACUAAAUAUGGUGGAUAUAAGUGACUUUUUGCGUGGCCGAGGGGUCCCCGAAGAUGCUAUUUUAUUAAUGGAAGAGCAGAAGAUUGACUGUGACGUCAUAGCGCUGAUGGAUGACGCAACUUUGGCAAACUACAUUCCCUCGUACGGAGACCAAAUUGCCGUCUUCAAUUUCUGCAAAAGCAAGCAACCACUGUCAAAAAGAAAACUAGGACUUCUGCAAAAAGUUCACCUCUCAAAGUGAGAGAAACAGUGGCUGACAUGUCAGAUUUGGAUGACUUAAUAAGACUGUAUUUCAGACUUUCUUUCAGUAACAAAGAAAUACUUUCAAUUUUAGCACAUAGUCAUCAGACAAUUAUAAGUGUUCGAACUCUAAAGAGAAUUUGUAAAAGACUUGGGCUUUUUAGAAGGAAGAAUCAAUCAAACUUGGAGGAGUGCUAGCCUUUGUCCAACAAGAGAUCAUGACAAAUGGACAGAUGCAAGGUUAUCGUUGGCUACAUCUACGUGCAAUUCAACAUGGAUUUGUGGUGUCACAAGAUACUGUAAGAUGCAUAAUCAAAUUGCUUGACCCUCAAGGUGUGGAACUGAGACGAGCUCGACGGUUGAGAAGAUGACAGUACAGCUGCAGAGGGCCAAAUGCUCUCUGGCACAUGGAUGGCUAUGACAAGUUGAAACCAUAUGGUAUUGCUAUCAGUGGCUGCAUAGAUGGUUUUAGCCGCUAUGUUUUAUGGAUGGAGGCUUAUACUACAGACAGUGACCCUAAAUUGAUUGCAAGUUAUUUUCUGAAAACAGUUUCAUGCAUCAGCGGAUGUCCAGAAAGGUUACGUGCUGACCGAGGUACCGAAAAUGGUUGUGUUGAACAAAUGCAGAUGUUUUUACGGAGAAACCACACAGACAGUUUUGCAGGUGAGAAAAGUUUCCUUUACGGAAGAAGUACGGCCAACCAACGUAUAGAAGGAUGGUGGGCUACCCUACGCAAACAGAGUGCACAAUUUUGGAUGAACUUAUUUCAAACUUUUCAGGAUGAUGGCCACUUCACAGGGGAUUUUUUGGACAAAAGUCUUAUCCAAUUCUGCUUUCUCAAUCUUAUUCAGGAUGAACUUGAUGAAGUUGUGAACACAUGGAACUCGCACAAAAUCCGGCCAAGUGGUAGUGCAGCAUCGGGUCGACCAGUAGUAAUGUACUCAUUUCCAGAGCUGCACAGUGCUGAGGAUAGACUGAAGCCUAUUUCUAUGGAGGAUAUCACUUUGUGUAUGGAAGAGU